CGGGACACGUGGUAUCCUGUCUGAAUAUGGGGGGACCAUCCUCCAAGGCUAAAUACUCCUGACUGACCGAUAGUGAACCAGUACCGUGAGGGAAAGGCGAAAAGAACCCCGGCGAGGGGAGUGAAAAAGAACCUGAAACCGUGUACGUACAAGCAGUGGGAGCACGCUUAGGCGUGUGACUGCGUACCUUUUGUAUAAUGGGUCAGCGACUUAUAUUCUGUAGCAAGGUUAACCGAAUAGGGGAGCCGAAGGGAAACCGAGUCUUAACUGGGCGUUAAGUUGCAGGGUAUAGACCCGAAACCCGGUGAUCUAGCCAUGGGCAGGUUGAAGGUUGGGUAACACUAACUGGAGGACCGAACCGACUAAUGUUGAAAAAUUAGCGGAUGACUUGUGGCUGGGGGUGAAAGGCCAAUCAAACCGGGAGAUAGCUGGUUCUCCCCGAAAGCUAUUUAGGUAGCGCCUCGUGAAUUCAUCUCCGGGGGUAGAGCACUGUUUCGGCAAGGGGGUCAUCCCGACUUACCAACCCGAUGCAAACUGCGAAUACCGGAGAAUGUUAUCACGGGAGACACACGGCGGGUGCUAACGUCCGUCGUGAAGAGGGAAACAACCCAGACCGCCAGCUAAGGUCCCAAAGUCAUGGUUAAGUGGGAAACGAUGUGGGAAGGCCCAGACAGCCAGGAUGUUGGCUUAGAAGCAGCCAUCAUUUAAAGAAAGCGUAAUAGCUCACUGGUCGAGUCGGCCUGCGCGGAAGAUGUAACGGGGCUAAACCAUGCACCGAAGCUGCGGCAGCGACGCUUAUGCGUUGUUGGGUAGGGGAGCGUUCUGUAAGCCUGCGAAGGUGUGCUGUGAGG
RNAcentral lists this ribosomal RNA (851 nucleotides) under Escherichia coli. Its description in RNAcentral is "partial 23S ribosomal RNA". It matches the Rfam family "Bacterial large subunit ribosomal RNA", at positions 418 to 1268 of the family's 2925-position model. The record is from RNAcentral. Lineage: Bacteria; Pseudomonadati; Pseudomonadota; Gammaproteobacteria; Enterobacterales; Enterobacteriaceae.